GACGAACGCUGGCGGCGUGCCUAAUACAUGCAAGUAGAACGCACAGUUUAUACCGUAGCUUGCUCUACCAUAGACUGUUAGUUGCGAACGGGUGAGUAACGCGUAGGUAACCUGCCCGGUAGCGGGGGAUAACUAUUGGAAACGAUAGCUAAUACCGCAUAAUAUUGAUUAUUGCAUGAUAAUUGAUUGAAAGAUGCUAUUGCAUCACUACCAGAUGGACCUGCGUUGUAUUAGCUAGUAGGUGAGGUAACGGCUCACCUAGGCGACGAUACAUAGCCGACCUGAGAGGGUGAUCGGCCGCGCUGAGACUGAGACACGGCCCAGACUCCUACGGGAGGCAGCAGUAGGGAAUCUUCGGCAAUAGACGAAAGUGUGACCGAACAACGCCGCGUGCGUGAAGAAGGUUUUCGGAUCGUAGAGCGCUGUUGUAAGAGAAGAACGGGUGUGAGAGUGGAAAGGUCACACUGUGACGGUAUCUUACCAGAAAGGGACGGCUAACUACGUG
Molecule: ribosomal RNA, 505 nt
Filed under: uncultured bacterium
Lineage: Bacteria
Description: partial 16S ribosomal RNA
Rfam family: Bacterial small subunit ribosomal RNA
Source: RNAcentral